GUCCCGCCUCCAGCCCCUUCCUUUCUUAGUGGUUUGUCCCAGGCCUCUCACCUCUGUCUCAGGUCCCGCCUCCAGACCCUCCCUUUCUUAGUGGUUUGUCCCUGGUCUCUCACCUCUGUCUCAGGUCCCGCCUCUAGCCCCUCCCUUUCCUUGUGGUUUGCCCAAGGCCUCUCAUCUUUAUCUCAGGUCCCGCCUCCAGAACCUCCCUUUCUUAGUGGUUUGUCCC
This is a long non-coding RNA of Erpetoichthys calabaricus (reedfish), 226 nucleotides long. RefSeq lists it as uncharacterized. The transcript is spliced from 3 exons. Lineage: Eukaryota; Metazoa; Chordata; Cladistia; Polypteriformes; Polypteridae. The record is from RefSeq and is a predicted model, not a curated record.